AAUACCGCAUAAGACCACAGCACCGCAUGGCUGCAGGGGUAAAAACUCCGGUGGUACAGGAUGGACCCGCGUCUGAUUAGCUGGUUGGUGAGGUAACGGCUCGCCAAGGCGACGAUCAGUAGCCGGCUUGAGAGAGUGAACGGCCACAUUGGGACUGAGACACGGCCCAAACUCCUACGGGAGGCAGCAGUGGGGAAUAUUGCACAAUGGGGGGAACCCUGAUGCAGCGACGCCGCGUGAGUGAAGAAGUAUCUCGGUAUGUAAACUUCUAUCAGCAGGGAAGAUAGUGACGGUACCUGACUAAGAAGCCCCGGCUAACUACGUGCCAGCAGCCGCGGUAAUACGUAGGGGGCAAGCGUUAUCCGGAUUUACUGGGUGUAAAGGGAGCGUAGACGGACUGGCAAGUCUGAUGUGAAAGGCGGGGGCUCAACCCCCUGGACUGCAUUGGAAACUGUUAGUCUUGAGUGCCGGAGAGGUAAGCGGAAUUCCUAGUGUAGCGGUGAAAUGCGUAGAUAUUAGGAGGAACACCAGUGGCGAAGGCGG
This 543-nucleotide ribosomal RNA is filed under the name uncultured Lachnospiraceae bacterium. RNAcentral describes it as "bacterial SSU rRNA". It matches the Rfam family "Bacterial small subunit ribosomal RNA", at positions 165 to 724 of the family's 1533-position model. The record is from RNAcentral. Lineage: Bacteria; Bacillati; Bacillota; Clostridia; Lachnospirales; Lachnospiraceae.